GCAAGUCGAACGAGAAAACACCUUCGGGUGUGAGUAGAGUGGCGCACGGGUGAGUAACACGUAGGUGACCUACCUUACUGUGGGGGAUAACCCCGAGAAAUUGAAGCUAAUACCGCAUACGAUAAACGAAAUUGAAAAAGUUUAUGAAAGAGUGCCUCUCCUUGGAAGCACUCACUGGAAGAUGGGCCUGCGGAGCAUUAGCUUGUUGGUGGGUAAUGGCCUACCAAGGCGACGAUGCUUAGCUGAUCUGAGAGGAUGAUC
This 261-nucleotide ribosomal RNA is filed under the name uncultured bacterium. RNAcentral describes it as "partial 16S ribosomal RNA". It matches the Rfam family "Bacterial small subunit ribosomal RNA", at positions 57 to 305 of the family's 1533-position model. The record is from RNAcentral.